RNAcentral lists this ribosomal RNA (863 nucleotides) under uncultured bacterium. Its description in RNAcentral is "bacterial SSU rRNA". It matches the Rfam family "Bacterial small subunit ribosomal RNA", at positions 9 to 873 of the family's 1533-position model. The record is from RNAcentral.
AGAGUUUGAUCAUGGCUCAGGACGAACGCUGGCGGCGUGCUUAACACAUGCAAGUCGUGCGGAAAGGCCCCUUCGGGGGUACUCGAGCGGCGAACGGGUGAGUAACACGUGAGUGACCUACCCUCCACUCUGGGAUAACCCUCGGAAACGGGGGCUAAUACCGGAUAUGACCUGCUCCUGCAUGGGGGUGGGUGGAAAGGACUUGUCCGGUGGGGGAUGGGCUCGCGGCCUAUCAGCUAGUUGGUGGGGUAAUGGCCUACCAAGGCGUUGACGGGUAGCCGGCCUGAGAGGGUGACCGGCCACACUGGGACUGAGACACGGCCCAGACUCCUACGGGAGGCAGCAGUGGGGAAUAUUGCGCAAUGGGCGGAAGCCUGACGCAGCGACGCCGCGUGGGGGAUGAAGGCCUUCGGGUUGUAAACCCCUUUCGGCUCUGACGAAGCCCCUUUUUGGGGUGACGGUAGGAGCAGAAGAAGCGCCGGCCAACUACGUGCCAGCAGCCGCGGUAAGACGUAGGGCGCAAGCGUUGUCCGGAUUUAUUGGGCGUAAAGAGCUCGUAGGCGGCCUGUCGCGUCGAUCGUGAAAGUCCACGGCUCAACUGUGGGAUUGCGGUCGAUACGGGCAGGCUAGAGUGCGGCAGGGGAGACUGGAAUUCCUGGUGUAGCGGUGAAAUGCGCAGAUAUCAGGAGGAACACCGGUGGCGAAGGCGGGUCUCUGGGCCGUUACUGACGCUGANGAGCGAAAGCGUGGGGAGCGAACAGGAUUAGAUACCCUGGUAGUCCACGCUGUAAACGUUGGGCGCUAGGUGUGGGGACCCNUUCCCGGGUUUCUGUGCCGUAGCUAACGCAUUAAGCGCCCCGCCU